ACUUUUGGAUUGUGUGUAUAUAUAAGCAACAGAGCCAAGGAGGGAGAUAAAAAAUAAAAUUAACAAAAAUGUUUCUGUAAAAAGGGUAAGGCUAAAAUGGGAAUUUGAAGGCACAAAGCAUAUCUAAAGGCCAAAAUAGAAAAAAGAAAGAAAUUGGCAGAGGUGGAAUGUCAACAGCGCGAGAGUACUGGCCCUGCCCUGGCCUGCAACUGCCAAUCUGUUUUCUGUCUGUACUUUUAUCUUCUUUCUUUCUUUCUCUCUCUUUUUUCUUCCUGUUUAACCGGGUUUUCGCCACGUGGCAGUGGUAAAACUUAGGCAAUACUCGAAAAGACAAUUUGACCCUCCAACUCAUUGGCCAAUGAGGUAUGUAUUCUUGAUGUCAUUGAUGGGUUUAUUGACUUUUGACUUUGGGUGGCGCCGUGGUGGAAUGGAAUGUAAGGUGUUGCAUAUGGAGAUGGGAGUCACUUUCAUGAAGUUUACCUGCCGCCUCUGAUCCUUAAUAUCUAAGCACGUAAGGUUAGUGAGUAUCCAUCUAUUAAAUGUUUUCUUUUUGUCUCACCCAAGUUUUCUUUAUGCUAUUCAAGAAAUUGUGUUUAAACAAUUAUAUAUAACAAUCUAUCAAUUUAUUAAAUACAUAAUACAUCUAACUAAAUCUAAUCUUAUUAGCUUGCGCCUUAACUGGUAAACAGGAACUGUAAAAUUAGAAACUUUUUUGUUGCUGGUUAGUCUAAUCUGAUGCUUAUAUUAAUGGAUUUGUACUGUAUGCAGGGUUAUUGGAAUCUUAAAGUGUUGAAGAGAUAUUUCAACAGCUCGCACCAUAAGCAAUGAUUUUCGGUGGAUGAAUUGAGCGAGGCAUUUAACCUUACUUUUUAUAAGGUACUAGUAACCUUCAUUUGCGUUACCUGAUUAUUGGAGAUAUAUUUUGCAUCCUGAAUAUGGGAAUUUUAGCACAAUAACCUAGAAUUUAUAUGAGCAUUAAAGAAGAAGAGAAAGAGAAAUGGCCUAUUCUGUUGUUCUUCUGUGGGCUAGUAAUUGCAGCAAAUAGCUCACAACGUUUAUGUGAAGGUUGGCUAGCAGAGACCCUCCGCCCUAAGCAAAAAAAAUCCCUACCCGCGGCUCAAUCUUUCUUCCUGCAUUUAUUUAAAUGCAGCUAUGGCACGUGAAUCAGUUAUUGCAGAUUAUCCAUAUCAAGAAUGUAAUUGUCACUUUCCUGCUAAUGACGAUUUUCUCUUUUAAAAGUGUCAUAUUAUAUUGAGAAAAAUUUAAAGAAGC
RNAcentral lists this long non-coding RNA (1272 nucleotides) under Ricinus communis (castor bean). RNAcentral's name for it is "long non-coding RNA (RCOM_LNC000157)". The record is from RNAcentral. Lineage: Eukaryota; Viridiplantae; Streptophyta; Magnoliopsida; Malpighiales; Euphorbiaceae.